This 399-nucleotide ribosomal RNA is filed under the name Klebsiella pneumoniae. Its description in RNAcentral is "bacterial SSU rRNA". It matches the Rfam family "Bacterial small subunit ribosomal RNA", at positions 1135 to 1533 of the family's 1533-position model. The record is from RNAcentral. Lineage: Bacteria; Pseudomonadati; Pseudomonadota; Gammaproteobacteria; Enterobacterales; Enterobacteriaceae.
GAACUCAAAGGAGACUGCCAGUGAUAAACUGGAGGAAGGUGGGGAUGACGUCAAGUCAUCAUGGCCCUUACGACCAGGGCUACACACGUGCUACAAUGGCAUAUACAAAGAGAAGCGACCUCGCGAGAGCAAGCGGACCUCAUAAAGUAUGUCGUAGUCCGGAUUGGAGUCUGCAACUCGACUCCAUGAAGUCGGAAUCGCUAGUAAUCGUAGAUCAGAAUGCUACGGUGAAUACGUUCCCGGGCCUUGUACACACCGCCCGUCACACCAUGGGAGUGGGUUGCAAAAGAAGUAGGUAGCUUAACCUUCGGGAGGGCGCUUACCACUUUGUGAUUCAUGACUGGGGUGAAGUCGUAACAAGGUAACCGUAGGGGAACCUGCGGUUGGAUCACCUCCUUA